GUCUGGAAUGAAUGGUUGGAUGAAAAAUUUACUUUCUUUAUUUUAAAUAUAAAAUUUGAUUUUUAAGUUAAAAAGCUUAAAUGUUAUUAAAGGACGAGAAGACCCUAUAGAACUUUAUUCUAUUAUUUUUAUAUUUUAGUUUGAUAAUAAUUAAUAUUUAAUUAUACUAUAAUUGUGUUGGGGUGACAAAAAAAAAUUAAUAACUUUUUUUAUUUAGAUCAUUUUUUUAUGAACUUUUGAUCCUUUAUUAAAGAUAAAAAGAUUAAGUUACCUUAGGGAUAACAGCGUUAUUAUUUUAGAGAGUUCAUAUCGAUAAAAUAGUUUGCGACCUCGAUGUUGGAUUAAAAUAAGUUUCAGGAGCAGAAAAUUGAUUACUAGGUC
This 381-nucleotide ribosomal RNA is filed under the name Solenoxyphus lepidus. RNAcentral describes it as "partial large subunit ribosomal RNA". The record is from RNAcentral. Lineage: Eukaryota; Metazoa; Arthropoda; Insecta; Hemiptera; Miridae.